Molecule: ribosomal RNA, 1184 nt
Filed under: Anteon puncticeps
Lineage: Eukaryota; Metazoa; Arthropoda; Insecta; Hymenoptera; Dryinidae
Description: eukaryotic LSU rRNA
Rfam family: Eukaryotic large subunit ribosomal RNA
Source: RNAcentral
UAAGCGGAGGAAAAGAAACUAACAAGGAUUUCCUAAGUAGCGGCGAGCGAACAGGAAAUAGCCCAGCACUGAAUCCCGCGGUUCUGCCGCAGGGAAAUGUAGUGUUCGGGAGGGUCCGUUCAUCCCGAGACGUCGUACCGAGUCCAAGUCCAUCUUGAAUGGGGCCAUUUACCCGCAGAGGGUGCCAGGCCCGUAGCGACCGGAACGCGUCUUUGGAGGACCUCUCCUUAGAGUCGGGUUGCUUGAGAGUGCAGCUCUAAGUGGGUGGUAAACUCCAUCUAAGGCUAAAUACGACCACGAGACCGAUAGCGAACAAGUACCGUGAGGGAAAGUUGAAAAGAACUUUGAAGAGAGAGUUCAAGAGUACGUGAAACCGUUCAGGGGUAAACCUGAGGAACCCAAAAGAUCGAACGGGGAGAUUCAUCGUCAGCGAGGCAGGCUUCGCGAGGGCGUAGCGAUGUUCGUNGGACUUCGGUUCGACGGCACGCCGUUCUCGUGUUUCACGUCUUGUCGCGUCGGCGUGCACUUCUCCCCUUGUAGAACGUCGCGACCCGUUGGGUGUCGGUCUACGGCCCGGGUGGAUGCCUGUCUCGUCGUUUCGGCGAACGAGGCAGAACCCCGGUGUUCCCGACCGGCUGCUCGGCGGUACUCGCACGGUAUAGGGCCGCAAGCAAACGUGCGUCCAGGUCCGUCGCAAGCGCGUUCAUCGUUUCCCGGAGUAACGGACUUUGCGCCGUACCCGGGCCUGAACAGCUGUUGGUUGACGAUGACCUCGGACUGGCUCGGUCGGGUAAGUUUUUAAUUUGCCCGAUCGUUAAUACCGGUCGGCGACGCUACUGCUUUGGGUACUCUCAGGACCCGUCUUGAAACACGGACCAAGGAGUCUAACAUGUGCGCGAGUCAUUGGGACUGAAAAGCCUAAAGGCGUAAUGAAAGUGAAGAUCGUUCUAGCAACGAUCGAGGGAGGAUAGGCCGCGUCACGAUGCGGCUUCGCACUCCCGGGGCGUCUCGUUCUCAUUGCGAGAGGAGGCGCACCCAGAGCGUACACGUUGGGACCCGAAAGAUGGUGAACUAUGCCUGGUCAGGACGAAGUCAGGGGAAACCCUGAUGGAGGUCCGUAGCGAUUCUGACGUGCAAAUCGAUCGUCGGAACUGGGUAUAGGGGCGAAAGACUAAUCGAACCAU